RNAcentral lists this ribosomal RNA (927 nucleotides) under uncultured Leuconostoc sp. RNAcentral's name for it is "bacterial SSU rRNA". It matches the Rfam family "Bacterial small subunit ribosomal RNA", at positions 8 to 916 of the family's 1533-position model. The record is from RNAcentral. Lineage: Bacteria; Bacillati; Bacillota; Bacilli; Lactobacillales; Lactobacillaceae.
AGAGUUUGAUCAUGGCUCAGGAUGAACGCUGGCGGCGUGCCUAAUACAUGCAAGUCGAACGCACAGCGAAAGGUGCUUGCACCUUUCAAGUGAGUGGCGAACGGGUGAGUAACACGUGGACAACCUGCCUCAAGGCUGGGGAUAACAUUUGGAAACAGAUGCUAAUACCGAAUAAAACUUAGUGUCGCAUGACACAAAGUUAAAAGGCGCUUCGGCGUCACCUAGAGAUGGAUCCGCGGUGCAUUAGUUAGUUGGUGGGGUAAAGGCCUACCAAGACAAUGAUGCAUAGCCGAGUUGAGAGACUGAUCGGCCACAUUGGGACUGAGACACGGCCCAAACUCCUACGGGAGGCUGCAGUAGGGAAUCUUCCACAAUGGGCGAAAGCCUGAUGGAGCAACGCCGCGUGUGUGAUGAAGGCUUUCGGGUCGUAAAGCACUGUUGUAUGGGAAGAACAGCUAGAAUAGGAAAUGAUUUUAGUUUGACGGUACCAUACCAGAAAGGGACGGCUAAAUACGUGCCAGCAGCCGCGGUAAUACGUAUGUCCCGAGCGUUAUCCGGAUUUAUUGGGCGUAAAGCGAGCGCAGACGGUUUAUUAAGUCUGAUGUGAAAGCCCGGAGCUCAACUCCGGAAUGGCAUUGGAAACUGGUUAACUUGAGUGCAGUAGAGGUAAGUGGAACUCCAUGUGUAGCGGUGGAAUGCGUAGAUAUAUGGAAGAACACCAGUGGCGAAGGCGGCUUACUGGACUGCAACUGACGUUGAGGCUCGAAAGUGUGGGUAGCAAACAGGAUUAGAUACCCUGGUAGUCCACACCGUAAACGAUGAACACUAGGUGUUAGGAGGUUUCCGCCUCUUAGUGCCGAAGCUAACGCAUUAAGUGUUCCGCCUGGGGAGUACGACCGCAAGGUUGAAACUCAAAGGAAUUGACGG